UAGUUUACGACUUCAUGUGUCUCCCUCGGC
RNAcentral lists this non-coding RNA (30 nucleotides) under Mus musculus (house mouse). The record is from RNAcentral. Lineage: Eukaryota; Metazoa; Chordata; Mammalia; Rodentia; Muridae.